UACGUAGGCAGCAAGCGUUGUUCGGAAUUACUGGGCGCAAAGAGUGUGUAGGCGGUGUUCUAAGUCUGUUGUGAAAUCUCCCGGCUUAACCGGGAGGGUGCGGCGGAAACUGGAAUGCUAGAGGAUGGGAGAGGUAAGCGGAAUUCCUGGUGUAGCGGUGAAAUGCGUAGAUAUCAGGAGGAACACCUGUGGUGUAGACAGCUUACUGGACCAUUUCUGACGCUGAGACACGAAAGCGUGGGUAGCAAACAGG
RNAcentral lists this ribosomal RNA (253 nucleotides) under uncultured bacterium. RNAcentral describes it as "partial 16S ribosomal RNA". It matches the Rfam family "Bacterial small subunit ribosomal RNA", at positions 524 to 776 of the family's 1533-position model. The record is from RNAcentral.